GACGAACGCUGGCGGCGUGCCUAGUACAUGCAAGUAGAACGCUGAAGGAGGAGCUUGCUUCUCCGGAUGAGUUGCGAACGGGUGAGUAACGCGUAGGUAACCUGCCUGGUAGCGGGGGAUAACUAUUGGAAACGAUAGCUAAUACCGCAUAAUAGUAGAUGUUGCAUGACAUUUACUUAAAAGGUGCAAUUGCAUCACUACCAGAUGGACCUGCGUUGUAUUAGCUAGUUGGUGGGGUAACGGCUCACCAAGGCGACGAUACAUAGCCGACCUGAGAGGGUGAUCGGCCACACUGGGACUGAGACACGGCCCAGACUCCUACGGGAGGCAGCAGUAGGGAAUCUUCGGCAAUGGACGGAAGUCUGACCGAGCAACGCCGCGUGAGUGAAGAAGGUUUUCGGAUCGUAAAGCUCUGUUGUAAGAGAAGAACGAGUGUGAGAGUGGAAAGUUCACACUGUGACGGUAUCUUACCAGAAAGGGACGGCUAACUACGUGCCAGCAGCCGCGGUAAUACGUAGGUCCCGAGCGUUGUCCGGAUUUAUUGGGCGUAAAGCGAGCGCAGGCGGUUAGAUAAGUCUGAAGUUAAAGGCUGUGGCUUAACCAUAGUACGCUUUGGAAACUGUUUAACUUGAGUGCAUGAGGGGAGAGUGGAAUUCCUAGUGUAGCGGUGAAAUGCGUAGAGAUUAGGAGGAACACCAGUGGCGAAGGCGGCUUUUUGGCCUGUAACUGACACUGAGGCGCGAAAGCGUGGGGAGCAAACAGG
Molecule: ribosomal RNA, 763 nt
Filed under: uncultured Streptococcus sp.
Lineage: Bacteria; Bacillati; Bacillota; Bacilli; Lactobacillales; Streptococcaceae
Description: bacterial SSU rRNA
Rfam family: Bacterial small subunit ribosomal RNA
Source: RNAcentral